RNAcentral lists this ribosomal RNA (253 nucleotides) under uncultured bacterium. RNAcentral's name for it is "partial 16S ribosomal RNA". It matches the Rfam family "Bacterial small subunit ribosomal RNA", at positions 524 to 776 of the family's 1533-position model. The record is from RNAcentral.
UACAUGGGGUGCAAACGUUGCUCGGAAUUAUUGGGCGUAAAGCGCGUGUAGGCGGUUACUCAAGUCGGAUGUGAAAGCCCUCGGCUUAACUGAGGAAGUGCACCCGAAACUGAGUAGCUAGAGUACUAAAGAGGGUCGCGGAAUUCCCGGUGUAGAGGUGAAAUUCGUAGAUAUCGGGAGGAACACCGGUGGCGAAGGCGGCGACCUGGGUAGAUACUGACGCUGAGGUGCGAAAGCGUGGGGAGCAAACAGG